Molecule: long non-coding RNA, 772 nt
Organism: Cephus cinctus (wheat stem sawfly)
Lineage: Eukaryota; Metazoa; Arthropoda; Insecta; Hymenoptera; Cephidae
Exons: 3
Source: RefSeq, a predicted model, not a curated record
UAUCUAAAUCUGGUUAUUGUAACUGUCAUUUGUCAAUGUUAUUAUUUUUCCGGUCCUUUGGACAUCGAAUAGGAAAAGUGUGCUGAGGUUAAAACAGUUUAAAAUGGCUCGAAAGUGUAUAGUGCUGAAAUUUAAAAGCGGAUAUGAAAGUAAUAAAGAACGAAUAUCCUUUUUUCAUGGGAAAAAAAAGAUGAAGAACUGAAAAAGAAAUGGAUUGACAUAAUUCCAAACACCAUUUAGUUUGCGAGAAACAUUUUCGAGAAACCGAUAUAAUUCGACACUUUAUCCAUAAAGAUGCUGCAGGAAAGGUUAUAACAAAGAUAUCAUAUCAAUUUCCAAGACUCAUCAAUGAAGCGGUUCUCUCUGUUUUCUCUAAUAUCAAAGGCUGUUCCAACAUCAUACAGAGUUGAGAAGUACAUGAGUACAAGUACAUUGAGUAUCGAGAACCUGAGCAGUACUCUAUUAUAACUGACAUGACAACUCCAAAUAGUAACCUGGAUGGAAAUGCCCCCGAAUCUAUGAUCGUUGGCAACCAGAUAUUGAAGAUAACUCAUGAUUAUCAAACUGAGUAUGAAAAUGGAACUUUUAUAAAUGAGACAAAAGUUCUACUGGAUAACAAAUUAAAUCAGAUUAUUUAAAAAUGCGUACGCAUCCAUUUUUUCAACAAAUCACGAAUGCUGAACACUAAACAAAAGGUGUUGCAAAGAGGAAACAAGCCACAUUUUAUAAACAUUAAAUAACGAAUAAAACAUUGUUAUAUAUAUUUCAGGAA